CGUGUAGGCGGCCUGGUAAGUCAGAUGUGAAAUACCUUGGCUCAACCAAGGAAGGGCAUUUGAAACUGCCUGGCUUGAGUACGGGAGGGGGAAGCGGAAUUCCCGGUGUAGAGGUGAAAUUCGUAGAUAUCGGGAGGAACACCGGUGGCGAAGGCGGCUUCCUGGACCGAUACUGACGCUGAGACGCGAAAGCGUGGGGAGCAAACAGGAUUAGAUACCCUGGUAGUCCACGCCCUAAACGUUGGGCACUAGGUGUUGCGGGUAUUGACCCCUGCAGUGCCGAAGCUAACGCAUUAAGUGCCCCGCCUGGGGAGUACGGCCGCAAGGCUAAA
RNAcentral lists this ribosomal RNA (332 nucleotides) under uncultured bacterium. RNAcentral describes it as "bacterial SSU rRNA". It matches the Rfam family "Bacterial small subunit ribosomal RNA", at positions 568 to 898 of the family's 1533-position model. The record is from RNAcentral.